AAAAGUGAUGGCCAGGGCAAUCCCUAAACAGGCAAUAUUUUAGGUUUUUUCAGAAAUUGUGAGGUCACAAAGGAAUAUGCCUGCCACGUGUCCUCUUAUCAACACAGACACAAGACAAGAUGGAAAGGACUCCAAGCAUGCAGGGUUGGGAUUUUGCAGGGCAGGCGCAAGGGAGAUAAUAACGGCAAGGAAAGUCUGGGUUGAUGUGAUGGGCUAGUAAACUCAGCCCUAGAGAGGGGAGAAUGCAAAACUGGGUAGCAAAGGACAACUGAGUGGUGAAGAGCAGAGGGUCUUAAGGAGGUAAAAGAGCAAACUUGGAAGAACAACGAAGAGAGGAGCUGGGGGGAAGGAAUUACACUUCAGUAGGACAGAAGAAGGUGUGGGGGUCAGAUGUCACCGAUGGAUCCUGGGGGAGUUCAAGGUCUGGUCCUGGAAGCAGAGGCUCGGCUUCAUCAGGGAGACAACAUAAGAGAGCACAAAAAGCCAGACCAGCCUCCUGAGUUAUUGUUCAGAGAUGGGAACAAUGUCCUAUUACUCAUGAAAAUGUGAGGACAGACAAAGGUUUUCACAGUCGGCUGUCAUCAUUGCUCAUAAGUUUCAAAGAGAACCUUCAGAGGCUGGA
Molecule: long non-coding RNA, 622 nt
Organism: Fukomys damarensis (Damara mole-rat)
Lineage: Eukaryota; Metazoa; Chordata; Mammalia; Rodentia; Bathyergidae
Exons: 2
Source: RefSeq, a predicted model, not a curated record